This 313-nucleotide ribosomal RNA is filed under the name uncultured Plesiocystis sp. RNAcentral's name for it is "bacterial SSU rRNA". It matches the Rfam family "Bacterial small subunit ribosomal RNA", at positions 29 to 334 of the family's 1533-position model. The record is from RNAcentral. Lineage: Bacteria; Pseudomonadati; Myxococcota; Nannocystales; Nannocystaceae.
AGCGAACGUUUGCGGCGGGCUUAACACAUGCAAGUCGAACGAGAACCUUUCCUUCGGGAUUGGGGACAGUGGCGCACGGGUGCGUAACACGUGGGUAAUCAACCCUUUGGACCGGGACAACCCGAGGAAACUCGGGCUAAUACCGGAUGUGGCAUGCGGAACCUCGGUUCUGCCUGCGAAAGUCCCGCAAGGGGCACCAGAGGACGAGCUCGCGGCCCAUCAGCUUGAUGGUGAGGUAAUGGCUCACCAUGGCGAAGACGGGUAGCUGGUCUGAGAGGAUGAUCAGCCACACUGGAACUGAGACACGGUCCAG